AUGCCAGGGCCGGAGGUGUUCGACGUCGUCAUCUUCGGAGCCUCGGGCUUCACAUACGUCAUCCGCGAGGCCCUCAACUGGGCCGCCUCGCCGGGGCCCGUUCCGCACGUCCCCAUCCUCGUCGCCGAUACCUCCGACCCAGCCUCUCUCGCCGUGGUCAUCGCGCGGGCGCGCGUCCUGCUCUCCUGCGCGGGGCCCUUCCGCCUCCAUGGCCGCCAGGUGGCUGCGGCCUGCGCGGCAGCAGGGGCCCACUGCCUCGACAUCUCCGGCGAGCCCGAGUUCAUGGAGCGCGUCGAGGCCGACCUCCACGAGCUCGCCGCCAAGAACGGGUCGCUGAUUGUCUCCGCCUGCGGUUUUGCCUCCACCGUCGCGGACCUGGGGUUCUUGUUCCACUCCAGGCAGUGGACGCCACCGUCAGUGCCGGUGAGCAUGGUCGCGUAUGUCAACCUGGAGUCGUCGGACAGAAAGAUCGUCGGGAACUUCGCCACGUUUGAGUCGGCUGUUCUUGGUGUGGCCAACACCAGCCAGCUGCAAGAGCUGCGCCGGUCCCGGCCGAGGCCCGCAAAGCCCAGUGUGAGUUACUAA
RNAcentral lists this ribosomal RNA (585 nucleotides) under Triticum aestivum (bread wheat). RNAcentral describes it as "partial small subunit ribosomal RNA". Lineage: Eukaryota; Viridiplantae; Streptophyta; Magnoliopsida; Poales; Poaceae. The record is from RNAcentral.